Molecule: ribosomal RNA, 520 nt
Filed under: uncultured Glomus
Lineage: Eukaryota; Fungi; Glomeromycota; Glomeromycetes; Glomerales; Glomeraceae
Description: SSU rRNA
Rfam family: Eukaryotic small subunit ribosomal RNA
Source: RNAcentral
AGCAGCCGCGGUAAUUCCAGCUCCAAUAGCGUAUAUUAAAGUUGUUGCAGUUAAAAAGCUCGUAGUUGAAUUUCGGGACCAAUCUGCCGGUCGUGCCUCCGGUACGCACUGGUUUUAUUGGUUUCUCCCUUCUGACGAACCAUGAUGUCAUUAAUUUGGUGUCAUGGGGAAUCAGGACUGUUACUUUGAAAAAAUUAGAGUGUUUAUAGCGGGCUUACGCUUGAAUACAUUAGCAUGGAAUAAUGAAAUAGGACGUUUGACCCUAUUUUGUUGGUUUCUAGGAUCGACGUAAUGAUUAAUAGGGAUAGUUGGGGGCAUUAGUAUUCAAUUGUCAGAGGUGAAAUUCUUGGAUUUAUUGAAGACUAACUACUGCGAAAGCAUUUGCCAAGGAUGUUUUCAUUAAUCAAGAACGAAAGUUAGGGGAUCGAAGACGAUCAGAUACCGUCGUAGUCUUAACCAUAAACUAUGCCGACUAGGGAUCGGAUGAUGUAAUUUUUAAUGACUCAUUCGGCGCCUUACG